Molecule: long non-coding RNA, 857 nt
Organism: Orcinus orca (killer whale)
Lineage: Eukaryota; Metazoa; Chordata; Mammalia; Artiodactyla; Delphinidae
Exons: 3
Source: RefSeq, a predicted model, not a curated record
GCGUCUGAACUCUCCCCAACCUUCCUCCAGAGUCUGGGAGCAGAAAGGAUGUAAGAGCUCCUUUUGCUGUAGGGGACAUCGCUGGCGUUAUAUCGGAAUUACACCUCCUGAAACAGAUUCCGGCGUCCGACGAGGCCUCCAUGGAGAGACAAUGUCUCAGUCAGUCAGUGACUCCCCUGAAUGCAUCAUUUUCCCUUUGCCUCUCAGAGUUUAUGGUCGAGCAGAACUUCAGAACAUGGUGUUUGAGGACGUGUGUCCCCUUCUGACGUCCUGAGAUGGGGCAUUUUGAAGAAUCUCGGUUGGGCGGAGAAGUUGACAUCAAGCGUCCCGAAGGAGAUGCAUUUGUGUUUGUCCAGCACAGCCAAAUCCAACAAAAUGGGAGCUGUAAUUAUAGGGCUGGAUCCAACCACAGCGCUGCAGCAUCUGACAUCAUGGGGUGCAGGGAAGGCUCGCGAACCCAGAGGUCGGGUCAGCACAGAAACCGCGUGUUGUCAACUGCACACACCUACCCGGCCCCUCCUCUGGAAUAUUGGGGUUUUUAACGUCCAUCUGACAAAAUUUCUUCCAUUGAAAAUGAUAGGAGUCUCUCUCUCUCUCUUUUUUCCUAAGUAGGCAUCUAAUUAAGCAGAUUCCAGAAAUAAAAACUGGCAUCGUGGUUAAAAUGGUCUUUGCCUGAGUUGCCUUUUCCAUGAUAAAUAUGAAACAGAUGGCAUAUUUGAAGUCCUGGGCCAGUUCAUUCCUCUCUGCAUUCCUUAGUGGUUUGAAAGAUCCCUUUAAGAGCUCAUUUAUCCACUGCCGUCAAAGACAUCCCCCCGCUCCCCCGCCAAAUACACAUGCAUCUCUCAGGGAAGGUGUGA